AACUUACUAUCAUUAUAAAUGUAUAUAUAUAUAACAGCUCACUACAAUCAUCUGGGCAUAGAAAGGGUUUCUAGCAGAACAGAAGCCUGUUGGCAGCAGCUCACCUGGUACUUCUACACUGACAGGAGAAAUCCUCUCGUCAUCAGCAGGUGAUCAACAGAGACGUGACUGAACACCGACCUGAAAACCACCCAAACAGCUGACUACUACGGCGGCCUGUUAUGCCCAAGAAGCAUGAUGGGCGAUAGAGCUACCGCCAAAGGCUUUCGUUGGUGUUCGGUAGAACUCGGCAGAGUCUCGACUACUCCAGCACGUUUUUGGUCGUGACGCAGACGCAGACAUGGACGCCAGUGAGCCUACAACCAGCAUGGAUACCGGAUCUCAGCAGCCACUCAAUUCAGUUCGGUCUCUUCUCCAGUAUCCGUUCGAGAGGAGAACUAUGGUGGAAAAACUUAAUGUCAAAGAGCUUGGACCAGAUCAGCCCGACGUAAAGAUAAGCCAGCAGGACAAGGAGAGAGGUAAACUGUACACACGAGGCUUCUCCCAAAAUUGGUACACCAGGAAGGCUUGGCUAGCUGGAUGCAAUCACGCUAAUGCGUUAUUUUGCUUUCUGUGUUUGUUAUUCAAAAGGACUGGGACAGAUAAGGCAUGGAUUGAGUCAGGAGUUACGGACAUGAAACAUUUUUCUGAGAAGUUGAAGAAACACGAGUUAUCCCGGGCGCACAUGGACAACAACACGGUGAAGCUAGCUAUGCUAGGCAGAGCUAACAUUGCCAUGCAGCUAGAGACGAGGGACACAGGCUUGCAGUGAAGAAACACAAUGAAGAAGUGGAUCAGAACCGGCACAUUUUGUCCAAGAGAGAGAGAUGUCAACACAGUGUAUGAGCACAAGGAUGACCUCCUCAGAUGUUUCCAGAUGAUCAGAGACUCGGAUGACUUUGAUCCAGUCACUGAGAGAGAGGCAGGAGGCUUUGUGAGAAUGCUGGAGGAAGAAGAUUUCGGCUUUCUGCUGGCAUUGUGUCACAAGAUCAUGCCACAUGUGGACAAGCUGUUCAACCAGCUGCAGAAGAGGAACAUUGACUCUGUCUCCAUCACAAGGGUCAUCCAGAGCUUCACCAACAGCAUGCAAAAGAUCAGGUACAUACUUGUUUAUUUAAUAUUAUUGUGAUGAAAUUCUCCAGUAUGUUAGUUUCACAAACAGUAAUGUGGAUGUGGACCAUAUAUGGUCGUGUUAUUUUAUGUGCAAUUUAAUGCAGUAUUUUUCAACCUUCAUCCACAAGGCAGUGUGCCAAUAGUCAGACACACCUGGAUUAAUCAGUUUGUCCAAUAAUGUAAGACAGGAAAUAAAAGAGCUGUGCUUAAUUCAGGAAAUAGUGAAGUUGUGCACAAAGUUCAGAAAGCACAAGUUUGUUUAAAAAAAAAAAUAGAACAGCCCCACCAAAAAUAUUUUUCACCAGCCGCCACUGGGUGGACUUGACUUUGAGAUGUAUGCAUUUGGGAUGUUGCCAUAACACUGGUCUAGUAUCUUGCUCCCUCUUGUGGCUGUUGUGACAUAUUGCCCUAGAUUAGGUAAAUAUGUUAUGAUGUCACAUUUAUUAAAGUCUCCCAAAAGAAAUACUGGCUGGUCUCCGGUUCUGUUGACAGCCCUGUUAAAACUAUCUGCUAUGGCAUCAGCAGCUAAGUUAAAAUCAGGGCAUGUACAAUAAAGAAAUGUCAGUGUAAUUAUUCAGUUCAAUGUAAGAAAACUGUAACUGUAGUUGCUGUUAUAUUUAUUUCUAAUUUCUUUUCUGUUUCUUUUCUUGUGGCUGUGUUCAGAAAUUCAUGCAGGUUUAUGUUAUGCUUUUAUUUUGAAAGUCAUAGUGUGCUUCCAAGCCAGCCACGCCUUAAUUAGUGAUGUGACCCACCUGUGUAACUAAGAAACAUGGAUGAGGUGCUGGCUAACUGACUGGAGAAUUCAGUGACAAAGCAGAAAGACAAGACUUGCAAAAGGACUAAAAAGCAUGUUAAAAGAUUAAAGGGGUGCUUAGAGUUCCUUCCUAAAGCAUUCAGCCAACGAGGUAUUUAUUUGUCUUUGUUUUAUGCACGUUUUGUCUUUUGAGUUCAUUGUAAAUCUUGUGUACACAGUUUCACGGUUUGAAGGAGGUCUUUGGAAGGUCGGAGAAAAGAUCAACGAUGAAAGGCCAACAAUAAAUCUGUUUAAAGGAACAACUUGCAUCUGGUCUGAUGGACGACUCCAACAGUGAAACUCGACUGUGAUCUGUGACCUGGUGAGGCUCUCCUGUGGCUGGGUGUGCCUGUGGUCAGCAAUGCCAAAGAAGCAACAAGGACCAGCUGAUCGCUUGAUAACGGGAUCUUAUAUGGUGUGCUCCAUUUAGAUGGAUCUUUAUGGAUCUUUGGCAGCAUGUAGAACAACCUUUCCCUCGGUUGGGAGGAGCCCAGCAAGUAAGUAUGUUGCUUUGCAUCAAUAAACCUCUUUUCCUUUAAUUUAAUGACAAUAUGGCUUUCCAUCGGUCUGGUUUAUGGGUAGAUUGGUUUGGUAAGUUUAGAAUAAUAAACUUCAACCCUUAAUUGCCUGUAUCCUUCUUUUAAAUAUUGACUUUUAUCCAUAAUUACUAUGGUGCUCCCUUUAUCUGCCGGUUUUAUUACUAUAUCCGAGUUGUCAGCUAGCUCUUUAAUGGCCUUUCUUUCCUCUGUAGCGUUAUGGAUUUAUGCUCUUUUAUGAAAGAGAAACCAUGCUACAUAUUAAUUCGGAAUAUUAAUUUUAAUAAAUCAAUAACCAAAUUUUAUAUUGUUCAGAAGACUCAAAGGUUGUUUUCAUCGAUAAACUGACGAUAAAAUCUGAGUGUCUGUGUUUCAGUUCAAUGAGGAAACCAGUUUCACAAUUAAAAGUUUUAAUUCAUCAAAUUAAACUAAUGAUUUUGAAAUUGACAAACAGGAAAUACAAUCAACAUUGGUAACUUUGUGGGACAAUCUUUUUAACAGUUGAUAUGCUGUUCUGGCUCAAAUAGACCUUCUGAUGAAUUUAUGAAGAUUGAGAAUGUUGUGAAUUGUGCUGGUGAUAUGAGAUGAGAUGGAUGUGUGUGUGCAUCUGAUUUUGCUUCAGGAAGAAAAAGGUGUCUGAGUGAAAAGUGAUGGUUUGAAUAAACUUAGGUUUAGUGGAAAAGAUGCAUCAAAACGCUAUCUGUCGUGUUUUGCCUCACCGAAAAUCGGACCCUCUGUUGGACCCGGGACGUCACCUUAGGAUGUUUCAUCCAGGGCACCUUGGCUGGCAAAGAAGACAAAGAUGCGCUGCGAACCGGUCCAGAGUUGUCCUCGGUACACGUUGAUGGUAAAGCGUUUUGUCGACGCGCUUUCUUAAGUUAAUUCACUCAGAAAUCAAAAGACUCGGUAGUGAGUCUGCGUUAGAAGUUGCGAUUCAGCUAUUCUGCCUGGCUUGGCAGAAACAGCGUGAAAGGGGGGGGAGAAACGAGCCAGCCGGCUCUGCCCCCCUUUCGGUUUUCAGGUCCACACUCUUCGUUGUCCAACACGAACUGAAAACAUAAGACUCAAACUUACCAAAAACCUUUCUCUUCUCAAAGCAAACCUGUGCGUCAUCAAAUGUGUCUGGAGUUUACUGUGGGAAGGUGUGUGUGGGUGUGUGUGAAUGUUUGUGUGCUUGAGUGUGAAGGUCAGUACCAAACAUUCAACAUUAACUACUUAAGUGUGGAUUCAUUAAUCCAUUAUAAUUACCCCAAAGCAUAAUAGUCAUUCAUUUGAUUAAACACAUUUAUAAUGAGCAAAAUGAUAAUGGUUAUUUUAACAUUAAAAUCAAGAAAAAGAAGUUUAAACUUUAUGUUUUGACUUGGUCUGGGUACAACUCAUGUAAACACAUCUUCUGGUAGACUGCAGGUGGCAGAUGUUAUGGUUUCCUCCCAGACUCACUGGCGUUCAGGACUUAAUCUGUGGGUGAAAGUUCUCAAUGACCCAGCUUUGACCUAGCUGCGUCCAGCACCACCUUUGUGAUAGAAAACCCGUAUUUCCUCACGUUACACCUCCAAAUUUAGAUUGUUGGUGUAGGGUGGCCUAUAUGCCACUUUUUUAAGUCUGUCAGUGUCCGAGCUUAUUAGGUUAGCAGUUUCGGGUGGGAGUAGCCCCAUUGCUGGUGUCCAUUUAAAUUUAAUUGUAAAUGGCUUUUUUUGGCUUUUCAGAUUGGGUUUGUUCUUAUAGUACAGGGCUAAUUUGAUCCUCCUGUGGUAAUUCUGUAAGUCAUAUUUACAUUAAAACCAGAUGUUUUAGUUAAUUUUGGGUUGGGAUGAAAUUUAUUCCUUUGCUUAGCAGAGGAAGCUGUGCCUCAGUUAAAACAAAUCUUUUUGUUAAGUUAACCAUUCCUUUAGUAGCCCCUCCCCUAAUUGGGCUUACGGGGACAUUUAGUUUAGGUAUUGUAACCAACUUUCCAGGAUUCUGUUAGCCGUAAGUGCAGACCAAUGGACCUUAUCUCUGUCAUUGUCUAUGACCACCUGUAUGUCCCCAGCAGGGAUGUAAUGACUCAGUUUGCAGAUUUUGUCAUUCAAACACCUUAGAACAUCUUUUUCACCUGCUGACAAGUCUGGUGAGAAGUUCACCUGUGGUACGAUGAUCCGGGCCUCUGGGAAUUUAGUGUGGGCUGCUGCCAGAGCCUGCUCCACAUGAUCAAAUAACCCUUUAUUCUUUUUACCUUGGGACCUGUCAUUGAUCCCAAAUGAGAGAAUUACAUUUUGUACCUUGACCUCUGUGGUGACCUUCUGAAGGAUGUCUUUAGCAUGUCGCCAUCCUGCUCCUGAAAAGCUGUCAAUUUGCAGCCCCUCGAUAGAUGGCAUUCAUUCUGGCUAAGUUGGAGUCACCCAUAAUCAGGUUGGGCUCUGUCACAUGCAGGGACCAGUUCUUCUUAUUGUUGCCCGGGUGUGGUGUGGGUGCACAUAUGGAUGGUUUCUUUGGAUGAGUGGACUGGCCUGCAGCUGGGGCUUUGAUCUCUGGGUCACCUGCUUGUUCCUCUCUCAGGUUGUUCUCUUGGUUCUCGAUGUCCCUCAUCCGCCUCUCGGGAGUCGUUUCUUGGUGCUGCAGUUUGGGUUGGUCACCUUGUGUUGACCUUUGGUUCGGCUGUGACCGGGCUCUCCUCCUCACGGUCCUGGAUGGAAGGGGUGCUGUCAUCUCCGCCGGUGAGCUUUGUGGGAGCUUUAUGUCCUUCUCUAUGAUCCUAGUGAGCAAGGUCAAAGGUGACUAUGGAGAGGGGGAUGGAUCUGGGCUGGUGGAGACAUCUCUCCGGUAGCUUUCAGGUGGGCUGUCAUCCUCUGAUUCAGACAGGUCCUCAUCUGCUGUGGGCUGCUGGGCUGUCUGGGUGGAGUGCUCCUGUGUGAGGCCGAAAAGCACCUCCCUCUCUUCCUGUGGUCUCCCCCCUGGGUGGACCUGCCCCGGUGGCAAACACCAGACUGGGAAUGCUUGGGUCCGUGUAAUUGGCAAAACCGGGCUCAGCUAGUGGUUCAAGUCUGGCUGAGGGGUAGCAGCUCGUCUCACCUCAACUUCUGUGGUUGGUGUAUUCAGUGGGGGACUGCCGUGGUCUGUUGGCCCCUCCAAUCUGGCCACCAUGAAGGCCUGUGCUUGUUCCAAGGUGUCUCUGGUGAGUCUUCUGCCCAGGUUCCUCCUGGCCCAUUUAGCCGCCACCUGAAAUGGUGAUAGCCAAUCUGGCUCAGGGUAACCAGUCAGUGUUAACACCUCAUUCUCCAUGGUCUCUGUGUAGUGAUCUUUUAAAAUCAAAACCAUAUUAUAAGCCCAGUUUUUAGUGUUCCCACUAAUCAGGUUUUUGGUUUUGGCUGUGGGAUUUGCGGGCUUAAUGGAAGUUAUGAGACUGUUAAUUUUCCUCUGUAGUGAAGGGGGAUAUUCACCCCCUGUGAUUUUACUCAAGUGGUCAGUCGCUUUAAUGACAUUAUGAAUGAUGCAAAUAGGGUUGUCACGGUAUGAAAAUUUAACCUCACGGUUAUUGUGACCAAAAUUAUCACGGUUUUCGGUAUUAUCGCGGUAUUUUUUAAACGGUGUUGCAUAUGUUCAGAAAGCAUUGAUAGUCCUGUUCUACACAAACUGAAAUAGUUCUGAAAAGGUUUAACAGUGUUUAUUAAACCUAAAAUAACACAAAGCCUUAGCAAAAGUGCAACUUUUCACAAGUAAAGGAACAAAUAGCUUCUUUUUCUGGAACAUGUUACAGUAGUCAGUGCAGGUUUAAAUGAUACAAAUCCAAACAUUCAAAACAUAAACAAUAUGUAAACAAAUCAAAGAAACACCACUUGUUUUCUCAUAUACUUGUUUUCUUCAUUAUCAAAAUGAAAAUCUAAAACUCCAGUCCACACUUGACUUGAGCACUGUACAAGUCAACCUUAAAAAAUAUGUAUUUAAAAUAAAUAGCCACUUUAAACAAAUGACUAAAAUAACUACUACACUAUGUAAUCAAAUCCAAAUGUUCAAGUAUAAAUGGCAUUGAAUAAGUAAACAAAUCAAUGACAAGGAACUAAUUGUAUAUUUCUCUUCAUCAUCAACAAAUAAGAUGCUUCAUCCAGCAACAGGGUGUCCGUGACACGGUUUAAAUGCUGGCAGAGGACGCUGCGGCUGCAGGAUAUAUUGACUCGUUGCAUUCUCCCUCAACCAAAAGUCCUCGCGUCAUGCAUUUCAGCUAAAAUGCUAAUGUUAACUUACCUUGCACUGGCUGUAGAGACGUGGGUGAUCGUCACACAGAUGUGCCAUUAGAUUCGAAGUGUUACCUUCUGCAGACACUUGUUUCCUGCACGUUCUGCAAACGGGAUAGCCGUCUUCUAUUAACUGUCCCUCAGCAUUUUUCAGAAAUCCCAAAUAUGCCCAUGCUUCCGAUUUAGUCUUCUUUGAGGGCUGAUGGAUGUCCUGGGCGCUGCCGUCUCCUCCUUCGGCCAUUAUUUCAGCUUCAAAGUUUUGGUGCCGUUGCAAACUAAAAAGUGCGUGUGCACGCCGCGAGAACUUCAGCUGAAGCGACGGUGGCUGGUAAGGGUCACCGCGCUGAAACCGCGGCCACGGUAAACCCACCGAGAUAAUAUAGUUUUUUAAAAACUGGACGGUUAUUUUUAUUGUCAACUUUUUUACCGGGUUUUACCGCUAUACCGGUUACCGUGACAACCCU
Non-coding RNA from Nothobranchius furzeri (turquoise killifish), 7153 nucleotides. The record is from RefSeq and is a predicted model, not a curated record. Lineage: Eukaryota; Metazoa; Chordata; Actinopteri; Cyprinodontiformes; Nothobranchiidae.